CUAUAUGGCGGGCGGUGCGUGGGGGUCUCCGGACCCGCCGGUUUAGCUAUGCCCGGUUUGCAACCCGCACCGUCCGCCACCCCG
This 84-nucleotide non-coding RNA is filed under the name Stenotrophomonas sp. CC22-02. The record is from RNAcentral. Lineage: Bacteria; Pseudomonadati; Pseudomonadota; Gammaproteobacteria; Lysobacterales; Lysobacteraceae.